AUUAAAAAUCGUCAGAUCCUGUGGAUACACCAUAUGCGUGCACUAAUAACCGUUCGGAAAUAUUGUCAAGACUUUCUGUAAAAACUGCUUCGAAACAGCAUUGAUAAACGGUCUUUAUAUACUAUAAAAGAUAAUUGAUUUCCUAUACAGCGAGAUUAUUGUACGUAGUCACACCUUGUAUUAUUUGAGGACGUGUGGAGUGACCGAUGAUAAAAUAAUAACGUUGACCAAAAUAAUAAUAUUAUGCUGAUACCACCGGCAGGGGACCGGAAACGACGGUGAAACUAAACAAGAUAUAAGUCGUUUUGUAAAGUACGAAACAAAAAUAUGUUCCCUUGUUGAUUUUGUUCUUUGAGUUAGAUAGAUUUUCAAUAAUAAAAGUAACCAAUUGAUUGGAAAGAAGAUUCGUUUUUCAACAGUAUACUUGUUUGUGUGACGGUUUGCUCGCCAGUGUAAAAAACAAAGUUGUUAAUAAUAUCUAAGUGAAAUAUCAUCCGGAUCCGAAAUAUCCGCAAGUAACUAUUUAUAUAUUAAAAACAUUAAUAUAAAAUAAAAACUUGUUCGUUUACGAUUUUAUACAAUGCGAUGCAACGAGAAGAAUAGACACAUGCAUUUUAUUGCAUCGCAUACGUCAUACCGAAACAAGUCCUCCUAUUAUGUAACUAGUGUAUAAUAUUAUCGCACGAUUGUGGGCUUUGCAUUUUCCGUUAUAGUUAUUACUUAUUUAGCAUAAAUAUAUAAUAUGUAUUAUAGUCUAAUUGGAUUUUAAUAGUUUUAAAUUUUGAGU
Molecule: non-coding RNA, 787 nt
Organism: Cinara cedri
Lineage: Eukaryota; Metazoa; Arthropoda; Insecta; Hemiptera; Aphididae
Source: the annotation of a GenBank genome assembly